ACGCUGGCGGCAGGCCUAACACAUGCAAGUCGAGCGGUAGAGAGAAGCUUGCUUCUCUUGAGAGCGGCGGACGGGUGAGUAAUGCCUAGGAAUCUGCCUGGUAGUGGGGGAUAACGUUCGGAAACGGACGCUAAUACCGCAUACGUCCUACGGGAGAAAGCAGGGGACCUUCGGGCCUUGCGCUAUCAGAUGAGCCUAGGUCGGAUUAGCUAGUUGGUGGGGUAGUGGCUCACCAAGGCGACAAUCCGUAACUGGUCUGAGAGGAUGAUCAGUCACACUGGAACUGAGACACGGUCCAGACUCCUACGGGAGGCAGCAGUGGGGAAUAUUGGACAAUGGGCGAAAGCCUGAUCCAGCCAUGCCGCGUGUGUGAAGAAGGUCUUCGGAUUGUAAAGCACUUUAAGUUGGGAGGAAGGGUUGUAGAUUAAUACUCUGCAAUUUUGACGUUACCGACAGAAUAAGCACCGGCUAACUCUGUGCCAGCAGCCGCGGUAAUACAGAGGGUGCAAGCGUUAAUCGGAAUUACUGGGCGUAAAGCGCGCGUAGGUGGUUCGUUAAGUUGGAUGUGAAAUCCCCGGGCUCAACCUGGGAACUGCAUCCAAAACUGGCGAGCUAGAGUAUGGUAGAGGGUGGUGGAAUUUCCUGUGUAGCGGUGAAAUGCGUAGAUAUAGGAAGGAACACCAGUGGCGAAGGCGACCACCUGGACUGAUACUGACACUGAGGUGCGAAAGCGUGGGGAGCAAAC
Molecule: ribosomal RNA, 745 nt
Filed under: uncultured bacterium
Lineage: Bacteria
Description: bacterial SSU rRNA
Rfam family: Bacterial small subunit ribosomal RNA
Source: RNAcentral